AGCGACCGACCCUUACGGAUGGGGGAUAGCCAGCCCAACGGCUGGGUAAUACCGCAUACGCUUCUUCUGGGGCAUCCCGGGGGAAGGAAAGCGCUCGAGGCAACUCGAGGGCGUCCGAGGACGGGCUCGCGGCCUAUCAGCUAGUUGGUGGGGUGAUGGCUCACCAAGGCGACGACGGGUAGCUGGUCUGAGAGGAUGGCCAGCCACAUUGGGACUGAGAAACGGCCCAG
This 230-nucleotide ribosomal RNA is filed under the name uncultured bacterium. Its description in RNAcentral is "partial 16S ribosomal RNA". It matches the Rfam family "Bacterial small subunit ribosomal RNA", at positions 120 to 334 of the family's 1533-position model. The record is from RNAcentral.